AAAGGCUCAGUAAUUCUAGUGUUAAUGUUAAAGUUGACCUUUGACCUUUUCAGUGUUGGAAAUAUGCUUUCUUGCACUGAGAUCUGCUUAUUGUAAAUAUCUUGUACUUGUUUUUACACCUUUGAAUGUUAAAGUUGACCUUUGACCUUUUCAGUGUUGGAAAGACACUUUCUUGCACUGAGAUCUGCUUAUUGUGUCAUGAUUCGGCUGUGUGGCAGGCAGGAAGUGGACCCAAACGCAAGCUCACAGAGGCAGGAAUGAACUCAAAACACAGCUUUAUUGCUGGAGGGAAACGGUGAAACAAACUGAUAAACUACACUGGGAAAAUAUACACUAGCACACAGGGAAACACACGGCCAUGAAUGAGGGAGAACGUGACACAGGACUGAGGGAGACGCGGACCUAAAUACACAGAGGGUUAACGAGGGGAGUGGGAGCACACAGGGAACACAGGUGACACUGAUAAUCAUAACGAGACAGGGCAGGAGUGAACACAACAUGACGCAUACUGACGAGGGACUGUCAAAGUAAAACAGGAAGUGCACAGAGGUUCAGACAGGUGGAGAGAGAGAGGACAGACAUAACGGGCUGGGGACAACAUUGAAUGAAACACGAGGGGAAACGAGG
Oreochromis aureus is the source of this 627-nucleotide long non-coding RNA. The record is from Ensembl. NCBI's taxonomy places the organism in Eukaryota, Metazoa, Chordata, Actinopteri, Cichliformes, Cichlidae.